This 237-nucleotide non-coding RNA is filed under the name Oscillospiraceae bacterium. Its description in RNAcentral is "6S RNA". It matches the Rfam family "6S / SsrS RNA". Rfam says of the family: E. coli 6S RNA was the first non coding RNA to be sequenced, but its function was unknown until recently. It consists of 184 nucleotides that fold into an extended hairpin structure with a large single-stranded internal bulge. The record is from RNAcentral. Lineage: Bacteria; Bacillati; Bacillota; Clostridia; Eubacteriales; Oscillospiraceae.
GAAGCCCUGCCCUGCGCGUGAUGGGCCUUUUUAAACCCACAUUUAUAAUAAGGGAUGCCGGACUCUCCGGUCGGAUUGCAGGCCUCCCGCGCGGCGCGCACACGAGCUCUCACGAGAGCAUCCGUGUAAGCGCGUCGGCGGACGUUGGAAGCGAGAAAAUCAGGAGGAGGCAACCCACCUGCUUUUUUAUAUGACGCAGGGUUAUAAAUGGGCUCACACGGCAGGCGCGGGGCGUCU